UCAGAUGCUCCCAGGCUCUCCCGCAGUUUAAAGACUUAACUCAGCGGCUUUCAGGGCCUGUGGUUGAGGGACUCCGAAAGAACUGUUGCUGGUGGACCGGUUCAGGGUCUUGACUUCGCCACACAAAAGAACUUGAGAGCACGUCCAAAGUAAAGCUAAGACCUCUAGUACAGUGUUCAAUGGAACUGGUGAGAAAAGACGUCCUUGCUGUGUUCCUGAUAUGAAGAGGAAAGCAGUCCUUCUCCAUUAAAUGCUGACAACAUGAGCCUCCCGUGGUCGGAACGGGCUUGUGAAGGCGGUGCUGGGGUGCACCAGGGCAGCAGCUACAGGGUCAAGCCUGAGACACCUGAAGCCCUGGACUUGGAAUCUGAAGCUGUCAUCAGCCAGUACACCUAUGAACCUGUGGAAGACCUGAAGUACCUGUUUAAAAGACAGCCAAAAGAUAAGUAAAUACUUCCCAAAUUUCCUUGGUGUCUUUGUUGCAUAGUUGCUGUAGGCUGGAUAAUAGUAGCCAUUGUUAUAUUUUUACAAUUAAUUUCUUUCCUCCAAACAGAUAGAAUCACUUCCUUUCUAAUAAUUAAGCAAAGUAAAAUGUUGUAAUCCAUUUUUGUAACAAUCAUUCCUGACAGGAUAGGUAUCCAUCACCACCCCUACCCCAAAGUUCCCAUUCUAUAGAACAAAAUAACAAA
Molecule: long non-coding RNA, 689 nt
Filed under: Homo sapiens (human)
Lineage: Eukaryota; Metazoa; Chordata; Mammalia; Primates; Hominidae
Description: HSALNT0402148
Source: RNAcentral